This 484-nucleotide ribosomal RNA is filed under the name uncultured bacterium. Its description in RNAcentral is "partial 16S ribosomal RNA". It matches the Rfam family "Bacterial small subunit ribosomal RNA", at positions 30 to 507 of the family's 1533-position model. The record is from RNAcentral.
AUUGAACGGUGGCGGCAGGCCUAACACAUGCAAGUCGAGCGGAUGAAGGGAGCUUGCUCCUGGAUUCAGCGGCGGACGGGUGAGUAAUGCCUAGGAAUCUGCCUGGUAGUGGGGGAUAACGUCCGGAAACGGGCGCUAAUACCGCAUACGUCCUGAGGGAGAAAGUGGGGGAUCUUCGGACCUCACGCUAUCAGAUGAGCCUAGGUCGGAUUAGCUAGUUGGUGGGGUAAAGGCCUACCAAGGCGACGAUCCGUAACUGGUCUGAGAGGAUGAUCAGUCACACUGGAACUGAGACACGGUCCAGACUCCUACGGGAGGCAGCAGUGGGGAAUAUUGGACAAUGGGCGAAAGCCUGAUCCAGCCAUGCCGCGUGUGUGAAGAAGGUCUUCGGAUUGUAAAGCACUUUAAGUUGGGAGGAAGGGCAGUAAGUUAAUACCUUGCUGUUUUGACGUUACCAACAGAAUAAGCACCGGCUAACUUCGUG